ACAGUGAGCCACUGUGGGGCUUUGCCUGCAGCAGACCAUGACAGCCCUGAAGGGCUGUGCACCUUGGAAGUGGGCAGAGGACCCACCCAUCCUACCCCUCCCACACAGUCCCCCACCCACACACAAUCCUCCCACCCCCACAUUCCCGCUUACCAGUGACAGAGUAUGGAUCUGGGCCACUGCUGCCAACCUUGCCCCACUUCUUUUUGCUCCAUCACGCUGAGGCAGUGUGCUGGAGCAGCAGGGGCAUGUGGCAGGCAUAGAGAUGCUCUGGCUGGGUACUGGAGCAUCUCUCUGGAGGACCCAGCCACUGGUUGCUUCAGGACACAUUCCAGGAGUGUACCCUGCACUACUUUUUUCUAGUGUAUUUCUUUUUUUAUACCAGGAUUUCCCACUAUUAAACUUAGAGUCUGCGCUGCAAAUAUACAGCAAGGGGAACAUUUUUUUGUUCCUAUUGUGCCUCCUGCAGUAUCUCAAACUGCUCUGAGAUGCCACAACAUGCAUGUGCUCACUUACUGGAUGCAGCCUAAUUCAGCUUUUGUUAAGAUUUUUGCACACCAAUUCCAUAUGGCCCAUCUUCAGAAAAAUGUUAGCUGAAUAAGGAUACUUUUCAUGAAUUGAAUAAGUAUGUACUGAAGAAUAUUUAGACUGAUCCAUAUUGCCUAGCUCACUGCACAGUUUUCUUUUUGCUUGUUUUGUAAUUAUGUCUAUCCAAAUUCUAGGAGUGUGCACACGUACGUACAUUAUUUAUGCAUAUAAACUAAAAAUGUGAAAAUUCAAUAACCAGUAGAGCUGUAUUGUAUAUAUAAGGUUUGUAUGGCUAUUGAGCUGUUUUUUUACUGUAAACUUAGUGUAAUAGUAGUGUGCUUUACUUAUUUUUCUAAAAAUGUCACCUCUUUAGAUACUGAAUAUCCUGUUAGGCUAAGCUGGAAGUAAAACCACAAGAAGGAUGUAUACAACCAUAGUGGGAGGGCACAUUAAACUGUAGAUCAAAAAUAAAAUGGAAUAAUUACCUUCUGGGAGGAAGUAAAUCUUCAAACAAGAUUUAAAAUUCUUUAUUUCCUUUCAAACUAGGUCUUUACCUAACUUGUCCAGUCUAGAGCUGAUAUCAGGGCAGAUCACUUAAAAUCCAGAAUAAGAAAAUGAAAGACUACCUUCCCAACAGUCCUGUCAGAUUUCCCAUCCCAGAGCUUGGUUUUCAGAUCUUAUGCCCAGAGCCUUUGCUAGCGCUUUUGGGAAGGACUCAAGAAUGUUAUCUUAACAGCUAGACCCCACCUUAACCUGACCAAAAAAGAAGCAAUUGGAGAAUGAACUGCUCUCUGCUUUUACUGGUCUGUCUACAUCGUUCUUGAAGUGCAGGAUUCAAAACAGGACACAGUACUCCAACACUUCACCAAUACUGAAUGGAGCACAAGAAUCACUUCCCUUGAUUUGCAAGUGACACUUCUGUUGAUACAACCUAGUGGGUUUGUCUACAUGAGAUGUUUUACUGUGCAAUAGACUAAUUUACUGCACAAUAAAGCAUCAGUAUCUACACAUAUGAACCAUCUAUUGUGCAGUAAAUUAGUCUACUGCACAGUUAGCUACUACCUGUAAAUACAGCACAAUAGAGCAUGUGUAGAUGCUGACCAGAAGGGGGACAGUUCCCGGCUAGCUCCAGGCUGCUCAAGGAAAUUUUGGUGUAGCCCACCGCAGGCUGGGAGCUGCCCCAGAAACGGAACAGCUCUCAGCCAGCCCCAGGCUGCCCCAGGAAGUCCUGCUGGGCACGGGGCUUGUACCCAUGUGCACAAGGCUGGGAGAACUCUGCAGUGGCAGCUGUCUCCUGGCCCCAUGCACAUCAGGACCCUUCCUGAUCUGUAUGGGGCAAAGCGACACCUGCUGGUGCAGCCAGCAGAGCUCUCCUGGCCCCAUACACAUGGGGACCAGCCCCAUCAUAGGUGGUAGAAGGCGGGGGCUAACAGGGCUUUGUUCCCCAAAUGUGGGGCAGUGGUAGGGCCAAAAGACAGCCUAGCCAUGGGCUGCCAGUGCAGCAGGGGUGGGGAAGAAGUGGGACUGUGGGUAGGGGAGGGGCAGGUGCUGCACAGCAGGUGGGGUGCAGGACUGAGCUGCAAGUGGCUCAUCUGGGGGACAUGGUUUCUGCUGCUACACACACCCUGGGAAGCAUGGGGAUGUGUGGCCCUGCAUCUGCAUGGGGCAGGGCAGAUUGCCGUUGUGGGCUGGGGCCCAGGCAGCACCAGACUCUCCCAACUCGGGAGGCAGUUGGGGCUGGUGCGGGGAUGGGGAGUGGCAUAGUCAUUGGCAUGGUGAGCGCUUGUGCUGGGCAAUGACUGCAGGUGCGGGAGAAGGGGCAGCCCCACGGGCGCAGCAUGCCCCGACCCCAAUCCUGUUCCUGGGCCUGGCUCCGCUCUACUCCCUCCCGAUCCCUGCAGGGUCCCAGCCCCAGCCCCACUCCUCCCCUCCCACGGCCCUUUCCCCUCCCCCCUCACACCUUCCCUUGAAGACUUUCUUGCCUGGGGGGAAGGGGCACAUGCACGCACUCAUGCUCAACCCCCUCAAAAAAAACUUUCUCUCUCCACCUAUGAGCCCCAUACUCCCUUCCAGGCCCUGGACUGGCACCCCAGGGAAGCCUGGGGGGAGCCACCUUGUACUGGGCUGCUCCCAUUGGAAGCAGAUUUGCUCCCACCUGGGAGCAUUUCUAGAUGUGCUUCCAGGGAAGGCUUACUGCACAGUAUUUUACUUCACAAUAAGCCUUUAUAACAUUAAUAGAGUGUGUAGAUGUGCCCAGUAUGCUGUUGGUCUUUUUUCACAACAAGAGCACACUGUUGGCUCAUAUUUGUCAUAACUAAAAGCAACUAUGCCUAUGUCACAAACAAGAAACGAAACUUAAGCCUUCCUCGCUUUCCAUUGUAAUUGGUCAGAGUGAAAGGGAAUAUCCCCGCAAUAAAUCCCUGCAAUAAAACCCUGACGAAAACUGCUGUAUAAUUGGCGAUUCUAACACAAACCAGAUGACGUGGCAUAAAUCAAUUGGUUAUAACACAAACAAAACCAGCUUGCACUUCCGCCCUAAUCGGAGAACUCUGAACACACACAGCAGAGUAACUUGGCGGUUUGAUCACCCACCAAUAACUCCCCGUCAUCGUUAUCAUCAAACCCCCCCCCGCAGGCUCAUCAGCUCAGUCACGGCAUCUCGUUCAUCAUGCACGGUCGAUUGUAACCAGAUACGUACACUCGGUUGUAACUAAAGCAAGUCUGCUACCUGCAUCGUAUUUCAUCCUGAGGCGGCGUAAGUAAACAAUCUCCUAUAACCAA
Molecule: long non-coding RNA, 3309 nt
Organism: Alligator mississippiensis (American alligator)
Lineage: Eukaryota; Metazoa; Chordata; Crocodylia; Alligatoridae
Exons: 3
Source: RefSeq, a predicted model, not a curated record